UUGACAUCCAGCGAACUUUCCAGAGAUGGAUUGGUGCCUUCGGGAACGCUGAGACAGGUGCUGCAUGGCUGUCGUCAGCUCGUGUUGUGAAAUGUUGGGUUAAGUCCCGCAACGAGCGCAACCCUUAUCCUUUGUUGCCAGCGAUUCGGUCGGGAACUCAAAGGAGACUGCCGGUGAUAAACCGGAGGAAGGUGGGGAUGACGUCAAGUCAUCAUGGCCCUUACGAGUAGGGCUACACACGUGCUACAAUGGCGCAUACAAAGAGAAGCGACCUCGCGAGAGCAAGCGGACCUCAUAAAGUGCGUCGUAGUCCGGAUCGGAGUCUGCAACUCGACUCCGUGAAGUCGGAAUCGCUAGUAAUCGUGGAUCAGAAUGCCACGGUGAAUACGUUCCCGGGCCUUGUACACACCGCCCGUCACACCAUGGGAGUGGGUUGCAAAAGAAGUAGGUAGCUUAACCCUCGGGAGGGCGCUUACCACUUUGUGAUUCAUGACUGGGGUGAAGUCGUAACAAGGUAAGCGUAGCGAG
Molecule: ribosomal RNA, 528 nt
Filed under: uncultured bacterium
Lineage: Bacteria
Description: bacterial SSU rRNA
Rfam family: Bacterial small subunit ribosomal RNA
Source: RNAcentral